Molecule: ribosomal RNA, 484 nt
Filed under: uncultured bacterium
Lineage: Bacteria
Description: partial 16S ribosomal RNA
Rfam family: Bacterial small subunit ribosomal RNA
Source: RNAcentral
AUUGAACGCUGGCGGCAGGCCUAACACAUGCAAGUCGAGCGGAUGAAGGGAGCUUGCUCCUGGAUUCAGCGGCGGACGGGUGAGUAAUGCCUAGGAAUCUGCCUGGUAGUUGGGGAUAACGUCCGUAAACGGGCGCUAAUACCGCAUACGUCCUGAUGGAGAAAGUGGGGGAUCUUCGGACCUCACGCUAUCAGAUGAGCCUAGGUCGGAUUAGCUAGUUGGUUGGGUAAAGGCCUACCAAGGCGACGAUCCGUAACUGGUCUGAGAGGAUGAUCAGUCACACUGGAACUGAGACACGGUCCAGACUCCUACGGGAGGCAGCAGUGGGGAAUAUUGGACAAUGGGCGAAAGCCUGAUGCAGCAAUGCCGCGUGUGUGAAGAAGGUCUUCGGAUUGUAAAGCACUUUAAGUUGGGAGGAAGGGAAGUAAGUUAAUACCUUGAUGUUUUGACGUUACCAAAAGAAUAAGCACCGGCUAACUUCGUG